RNAcentral lists this ribosomal RNA (532 nucleotides) under uncultured microeukaryote. RNAcentral describes it as "bacterial SSU rRNA". It matches the Rfam family "Eukaryotic small subunit ribosomal RNA", at positions 21 to 564 of the family's 1831-position model. The record is from RNAcentral.
UAGUCAUACGCUCGUCUCAAAGAUUAAGCCAUGCAUGUCUAAGUGUAAAUUUUGUACCUUGAAACUGCGAAUGGCUCAUUAUAUAAGUUAUAGUUUAUUUGAUAGUCCCUUACUACUUGGAUAACCGUAGUAAUUCUAGAGCUAAUACAUGCGUCAAUACCCAACUGGGUAGUAUUUAUUAGAUGGAAACCAACUCCUUCGGGAUGCUGUGGUGAUUCAUAAUAAGCUUGCGGAUUGCAGGAUUUUCCAGCAAUGGAUCAUUCAAGUUUCUUCCCUAUCAGCUUUGAUGGUAAGGUAUUUGCUUACCAUGGCUUUAACGGGUAACGGAAAAUUAGGGUUUGAUUCCGGAGAGGGAGCCUGAGAGAUGGCUACCACAUCCGAAGGAAGGCGAGCGAGGCGCGUAAAUUACCCAAUCUAGAAACUAGGAGGUAGUGACGAUAAAUAACGAUGCUGGGCCUGUGUAGGUCUGGCGAUUGGAAUGAGAACGAUUUAAACCCCUUAUCGAGGAAUCGAAUUGGAGGGCGAAGUCUGG